UACAGAGGUCUCAAGCGUUGUUCGGAUUCAUUGGGCGUAAAGGGUGCGUAGGUGGCGUGGUAAGUCGGGUGUGAAAUUUCGGAGCUUAACUCCGAAACUGCAUUCGAUACUGCCGUGCUUGAGGACUGGAGAGGAGACUGGAAUUUACGGUGUAGCAGUGAAAUGCGUAGAUAUCGUAAGGAAGACCAGUGGCGAAGGCGGGUCUCUGGACAGUUCCUGACGCUGAGGCACGAAGGCCAGGGGAGCAAACGGG
This 253-nucleotide ribosomal RNA is filed under the name uncultured bacterium. RNAcentral describes it as "partial 16S ribosomal RNA". It matches the Rfam family "Bacterial small subunit ribosomal RNA", at positions 524 to 776 of the family's 1533-position model. The record is from RNAcentral.